This is a long non-coding RNA of Trifolium pratense (red clover), 2502 nucleotides long. RefSeq lists it as uncharacterized. Lineage: Eukaryota; Viridiplantae; Streptophyta; Magnoliopsida; Fabales; Fabaceae. The transcript is spliced from 5 exons. The record is from RefSeq and is a predicted model, not a curated record.
UCCUACUACUCUCAAACCUGCAAAUCGUUCCUUUUUUUUAUGCACUGCAUCGUUCCUCUACUCACAGUUUCUUUGUUCCAAUUCUCCUCAUCUCUCCAUUAUUCCUCUACUCUCACAACUCCAUCUCGUCAAUCCUCAUCCUUAUCAAGGUCCUUCGUCGAACCCUAGAUCCUUACACCCUCGUUCUCCGUCGAAUCCUAAAUCUUGGAUUUUCAGUAUACCUGGAACGAAAAUUCUCAGCGAACAACCCUUAUAUCUCCACAUCUUUUAAUUUGACUAGUAUUUUACAAAAAAUUGUAGGCCCAGUCAUGAACUCCAUAGAUUAUUUUAAUGUUGGCGUAGUCGACAACCUGCUAAGAAGGAAACAAUUGAAAACACUCCCUAAGCUUGAUUCCAUCGUAGGUAGGGGAACGUCUUUCAAUUUGAAGCUUGAACAUGAACAAGAGUUGUGUACAUUGCAAGAAGAUGUUUCCACACAAAGAGGUUGCUCGCGCCCUCGUGGACGACAUCAAAAUUUUUUUGAAAAGAAUUACAAGCUUGUCUUAUAGCUUUCAAAGAAUUGGCUUGAUCUGGUGAAGGUCAAAUGACAUUUGGUGAAAUUCUUUAUGAUAUCCACUAUUUGAUAAAGCUUUCUAUAUCUAAUUUUAUUGGUUUUUAGGUUUCAAGUGAAGAAAGUUGACACUGCUUAUAUAAAACACCUCGCUGACAGGCUUCCUGAGGUUGGACUCCGUUUACUCCUCUUUCCUCUUAGUUCGGAUGUAAUUCUAACCGCAUGGUACCAUUCAAAGUAUUAAUGUUUUUUUUAUGGUUUAAAUUGUUUUAAACCGUAGACGCUUCUUAACAAAGUUUUAGGAUGUUUUCUCUCCCGACCCCCCACAUUUCUUUUCUACCUCCUGAAUUUCCGUUUUUGCCUUUGGGAGGUACUUCGGUUUGUACGAACCGAUUUUUUUUGUCAUGCUAACAAAUUUCAGUUAAUAAAAACCGAAAUUUUGUGUUCCAAAUUUUGCGUUUCGUCUGCGUUCCAGAUUUCCUGCAUAAAUUCAGCAUCAGACCCUCAACUUCCACAAUUUAUUUGAAAUACUAAACGAUGUCCGAUUUGAGUAAACGAGCACUCGUUGGAAAGCUUAUGGUGUCAAGAUUACAAAUAUAAUUUUUGUUGAGGUUUAACUAUCCAAUUGGUCAAGUUUAACCAAAUAAUGGGUACUGGUACAGAAAUAGAGCAAAAACUUUUUUCAAACUUGUAGGUGGAUUUUCUCAUACUAUACUUAAUGAAAUUUAACAAUUCCGGUGUCAAUCAUUUAGUAAAUUUUGUCUUCUUUACACUAGAUUAAAAAUCAUUAGCAUACGACUUAUAUUCAGAGAGAUAUGUUAAAUUUACCACAGGUAGCUCUGCACGAAUUUUACAUAAAUCUUUCUUCUUUUCUUAACACUUAUGAUAUUUUGGUUUAUAUAAACCAUUUUUUUCCAUGCUAAAUUUCGGUUUGUAAAAACCGAAAUAAGUUGGCCAAAAUUUUUCAAAAUAGGAGGGGCAAAAUGGAAUUUUAUGGGGUAUAAAAAAAAAACUGAGGGUUGGGAGACGUCAAGUUUUAGUAGUUUGGUUUAGGGAUGUCAAAUGGCAAUUUUGAAAUAUAGUGUAUAUCAAUUUAAAUUUUGAUCAUUUGACACAUUUCUUUGUUUUAUAUUUCAAAAUUUAUAUUUUGAUCAUUUGACAUAUUUCUUUUAAGGCGACGUUCUGUUUUUUCUUUUUUUUCAUGUUGUGAGUUUUUAUUUUUUAUGGUAGUUCAAUGGCAAUUUUUUAGAGGUAUGUCAACUUUGUUUUACAUUUUGUGCUUUGGCAGAUUAUGAGCCAAUGAUUGUAACCCCUAGGGAGUCAUUGAAUUUAAAUUCAUUCUUCUAUCCUUCUAAUUGACUAGGUAUCUCUUUCUCUCUUUCACUUGAUUAGUUCCCUUCUUAACAAGAUCUGGUUUUUAAAAAAAUUAAACAUUUUAUUUGUAGUUUUUUCUAUACAUUUACACAUUCCGCUAUAUACCGUGAAUUGAAUAACUUUCAGGUAAAGAAGCUCUAACACCCAAAAGGAAGAUUAAAUCAAAUAGUAUAUAAAGAUCUAAAGGGAAAGUGACAUAGUUAAAUUGGAAGAGAUGAUCUACGUUGCACUCAUGUUUAGACAUUUUAGGUGACCAUUAAUUUUCUGUGGAAUUGAAUUUGCCACUAAACAUUAGUAGUAAGGCACCACAUGAAAUUAUGAAUCUUGUGACAUAAGUAUUAGGGUUUUUUUCUUGUACUAAAGAUCAGUUAUUUUGAAACCAGUGGUGUCAUACAUACAUACUUAUUAAGCAAAAAGGAUUGAUUAAGAUUGUCAUUUUCAUACCUCUAGUUAUAUUUAAGUUGUAUUUUGUUGGAUUAUUUUAUAACCGAUACUUAGUUAUGUUGUAUUGCACGUCACUUAUUUCUAAUGUAUUGUUUGAUUUUAUGAUUAAUAAAAAAUUGUUUACUUUUUUUUUA